GCAGCAACGCAACAACUUAAGUGCCCAAUUUAACAACAUGGCCUCCACAGCAUCAUCAUCAACAAGAGGUAGCCAAGCAAGAGGUUAAACAGGUGCUCACAGACAGCCACAAACAACAAGCAACAAACCAGCGAGCAAAGAGACAGAGCAAGAAGGAACAUGUGACUUACAUUUUGGACGUUCAUUCUUCUUUUUUUCCAUGAAGUAUCCAUGUAUCCAGUAGUAUCCAUGUCAGCGACGCACGCACGGCUCGUGUCAAAACUCCAGGCUCCAGAAAUGGUGCAGUACCGCCUUUGACCACACAGACUAUCAGGAGUUUAUCGAUAAGCCCAGAGGGGCGCUGUUUCACUCAAAACAACUUGAUGAAAUGUGAGGAAGACGGGCACCACAUCGAAAUAAAGAAAAA
Long non-coding RNA from Acanthopagrus latus (yellowfin seabream), 406 nucleotides. RefSeq lists it as uncharacterized. The record is from RefSeq and is a predicted model, not a curated record. Lineage: Eukaryota; Metazoa; Chordata; Actinopteri; Spariformes; Sparidae. The transcript has 3 exons.